AGAACAUAGCUUAAAUAAAGCACUUAGCUUACACCUAACCUAUGUCUGUUAAACCCAGACUAUUCUUAG
This 69-nucleotide transfer RNA is filed under the name Pristimantis rozei (Roze's robber frog). Its description in RNAcentral is "tRNA-Val". It matches the Rfam family "tRNA". From Rfam's summary of the family: Transfer RNA (tRNA) molecules are approximately 80 nucleotides in length. The record is from RNAcentral. Lineage: Eukaryota; Metazoa; Chordata; Amphibia; Anura; Strabomantidae.